This 589-nucleotide ribosomal RNA is filed under the name Filobasidium magnum. RNAcentral describes it as "eukaryotic LSU rRNA". It matches the Rfam family "Eukaryotic large subunit ribosomal RNA", at positions 81 to 656 of the family's 3401-position model. Lineage: Eukaryota; Fungi; Basidiomycota; Tremellomycetes; Filobasidiales; Filobasidiaceae. The record is from RNAcentral.
UAGUAACGGCGAGUGAAGCGGGAAGAGCUCAAAUUUGAAAUCUGGUGGCCUCAGGUCAUCCGAGUUGUAAUCUAUAGAAGUGUUUUCCGUGCUGGCUCAUGUACAAGUCCCUUGGAACAGGGCGUCAUAGAGGGUGAGAAUCCCGUCCUUGACAUGAACUACCAGUGCUCUGUGAUACAUUUUCAACGAGUCGAGUUGUUUGGGAAUGCAGCUCAAAAUGGGUGGUAAAUUCCAUCUAAAGCUAAAUAUUGGCGAGAGACCGAUAGCGAACAAGUACCGUGAGGGAAAGAUGAAAAGCACUUUGGAAAGAGAGUUAAACAGUAUGUGAAAUUGUUGAAAGGGAAACGAUUGAAGUCAGUCGUGCUCUUUGGAUUCAGCCGGUUCUGCCGGUGUACUUCCUUUGAGUGGGGUCAACAUCAGUUUUGAUCGCUGGAUAAAGGCUGGAGGAACGUAGUACCCUCGGGUAAACUUAUAGCCUCCUGUCACAUACAGUGGUUGGGACUGAGGAACGCAGCACGCCUUUAUGGCCGGGAUUCGUCCACGUACGUGCUUAGGAUGUUGACAUAAUGGCUUUAAACGACCCGUCUUG